This 96-nucleotide signal recognition particle RNA is filed under the name Actinomycetes bacterium. RNAcentral describes it as "signal recognition particle sRNA small type". It matches the Rfam family "Bacterial small signal recognition particle RNA". From Rfam's summary of the family: The signal recognition particle (SRP) is a universally conserved ribonucleoprotein involved in the co-translational targeting of proteins to membranes. Archaeal SRP consists of a 7S RNA and homologues of the eukaryotic SRP19 and SRP54 proteins. In most bacteria, the SRP consists of a 4.5S RNA and the Ffh protein (a homologue of the eukaryotic SRP54 protein). The record is from RNAcentral. Lineage: Bacteria; Bacillati; Actinomycetota; Actinomycetes.
CACGCGGGCUCGGACGGCACUAUACCGCCAACCUGGUCAGAACCGGAAGGUAGCAGCCAUACGUGGUCCCUGGUGGGUGUUCGGGUCCGCAGGACA